GAGAUGGAGGGAGAGCUCCCCCAACAGCCACACAGCCACACACAACACACACACAUACACGUGUGUGUGUGCACGUUUGUGGCAGCUCAAACGAAGCCUUGGCUGAGGACAGACAAGGUGCUUUUGCCUCCUAGGCUGACCUGACCCAUAAGGGACCAGCCACAGAGAACUUCCGAAUUCCUCACAACCAAUGAGUUAAGGGCUUGCUUGUUGGCAACAGAUAAGCAAAAGCUUAAAAUAAUGCCUUCAGGACCAAAAUACUUGAGUGCCCCUUUCCCCCUGCCUGGCAGGGGAAGUGGUCCAGGCACUGCACAGCUCAGCUAUAGCCUUUACAGUGUCUCCAGGCCUCCAACUCCAGUUCUGGCUCCAUUGCCUUACCCGUGGGAUCCUUGAGCCUCAGUGCCCCCUCCAUGGAAUGUGAUAUACUUGGUGUAGCACCUGGCACAGGGUGAAAC
RNAcentral lists this long non-coding RNA (455 nucleotides) under Homo sapiens (human). RNAcentral describes it as "HSALNT0054515". Lineage: Eukaryota; Metazoa; Chordata; Mammalia; Primates; Hominidae. The record is from RNAcentral.